UGCGAAAUGGUGUAAAGGUGCGCACAGCAGCCUCAUGAUUUGUUAGAUUAGGUUCGAUUCCUAAUUUCGCAA
RNAcentral lists this transfer RNA (72 nucleotides) under Taiwanofungus camphoratus. RNAcentral's name for it is "tRNA-Met". It matches the Rfam family "tRNA". Rfam says of the family: Transfer RNA (tRNA) molecules are approximately 80 nucleotides in length. The record is from RNAcentral. Lineage: Eukaryota; Fungi; Basidiomycota; Agaricomycetes; Polyporales; Taiwanofungaceae. RNAcentral also lists the same sequence under 1 other name.